RNAcentral lists this non-coding RNA (117 nucleotides) under Nomascus leucogenys (northern white-cheeked gibbon). Lineage: Eukaryota; Metazoa; Chordata; Mammalia; Primates; Hylobatidae. The record is from Rfam by way of RNAcentral.
GCCAGGUGUGGUGGCUCACGCCUGUAAUCCCAGUACUUUGGGAGGCCGAGGUGGGUGGAUCACCUGAGGUCAGGAGUUCGAGACCAGCCUGACCAACAUGGAGAAACCCCAUCUCUA